This 253-nucleotide ribosomal RNA is filed under the name uncultured bacterium. RNAcentral's name for it is "partial 16S ribosomal RNA". It matches the Rfam family "Bacterial small subunit ribosomal RNA", at positions 524 to 776 of the family's 1533-position model. The record is from RNAcentral.
GACGUAGGAUGCAAGCGUUAUCCGGAAUCAUUGGGCGUAAAGCGUUCGUAGGCGGCAUGUCAAGUCUGAUGUUAAAGCCCGGAGCUCAACUCCGGUUCGGCAUUGGAUACUGGCAAGCUAGAGUGCAAUAGAGGUAGGGGGAAUUCCUAGUGUAGCGGUGAAAUGCGUAGAUAUUAGGAGGAACACCGGUGGCGAAAGCGCCCUACUGGGUUGUAACUGACGCUGAGGAACGAAAGCCAGGGUAGCAAAUGGG